This is a long non-coding RNA of Strongylocentrotus purpuratus (purple sea urchin), 293 nucleotides long. RefSeq lists it as uncharacterized. NCBI's taxonomy places the organism in Eukaryota, Metazoa, Echinodermata, Echinoidea, Camarodonta, Strongylocentrotidae. The record is from RefSeq and is a predicted model, not a curated record. The transcript is spliced from 3 exons.
UAGUAUACAGUGAUAAUCGUUCAACGGUCAAGUCUCAUCGCCAGCUUAGCCAACUGUCAGAUAGUAUCUACCUAGGGCUAGGCAGUAUGUCGGGGAAGGAGAGAACCAUGUCUGUGGCAACAGAAAAACCCAUGUUUUUGUACAAGGCAGGGCGCAUAGGCCAUAAGGACAAAGAACAAAUGGUGAUCUGCAAGCUAGUUUCACGUGGCGUUGGGGAGUGUACAGAGGUUCAUAUAUUCAACGAUGGAUCCGAAGAACCAAAGUCAAUGAUCAAAGUACAGUCCUUCGCAACC